ACCUCUGUGAUGUCAAAUUGCGAAGCUUUUUACGUUCAGGGAAACGGGGUGGUCAUGGCGGCACGUGGAGUUUCAAUCACUCGCCAAAAAGCAGUAAUCUGCUGUCACUC
Haplochromis burtoni (Burton's mouthbrooder) is the source of this 110-nucleotide long non-coding RNA. RefSeq lists it as uncharacterized. The record is from RefSeq and is a predicted model, not a curated record. NCBI's taxonomy places the organism in Eukaryota, Metazoa, Chordata, Actinopteri, Cichliformes, Cichlidae. The transcript has 2 exons.